UACGUAGGGACCGAGCGUUGUUCGGAAUUACUGGGCGUAAAGGGCUCGUAGGCGGCCAACUAAGUCAGACGUGAAAUCCCUCAGCUUAACUGGGGAACUGCGUCUGAUACUGGAUGGCUUGGAUUCGGGAGAGGAAUGCGGAAUUCCAGGUGUAGCGGUGAAAUGCGUAGAUAUCUGGAGGAACACCGGUGGCGAAGGCGGCAUUCUGGACCGAUAUUGACGCUGAGGAGCGAAAGCCAGGGGAGCAAACGGG
This 253-nucleotide ribosomal RNA is filed under the name uncultured bacterium. RNAcentral's name for it is "partial 16S ribosomal RNA". It matches the Rfam family "Bacterial small subunit ribosomal RNA", at positions 524 to 776 of the family's 1533-position model. The record is from RNAcentral.